This is a non-coding RNA of Spea bombifrons (plains spadefoot toad), 521 nucleotides long. The record is from the annotation of a RefSeq genome assembly. Lineage: Eukaryota; Metazoa; Chordata; Amphibia; Anura; Pelobatidae.
CAGGUGGGGGCAUUUCCUUGUGAUGGUAUAAAUGGCCCGUUCUGCAGACAGGGGCUCAGUGAUCUGUAUCAGACCCGAGUGCAGCGAUCAAGAUGAUGUCACACAGCUGUUUGCUGAUCAUAUUAACCAUCUGGGUUCAUGGAUCCUGUGGACAGAUUGUGAUGAGUCAGACUCCAGACUCUGUCUCUGUGUCACCAGGAGAACGCGUCACCAUGACAUGUAAAGCCAGUAGUAAUGUUAACAGCUAUGUAGCCUGGUACCAACAGAAACCAGGACAACCCCCAAAGCUCCUGAUCUAUGGUGCCAGCAGCAGAUACACCGGGACCCCAGAGCGGUUCAGCGGCAGCGGGUCGGGAACUGAUUUCACUUUUACCAUCAGCGGAGCGCAAGCAGAAGAUGCAGCAGAUUAUUACUGUCAGCAGUAUCAGAGCUGGCCUCUCACAGUGAUACAGAGCCGUACAAAAACCUUCCUCUUUUUCAUCAAAUCUGCAGCAUCAGAUAUGAUCUGUUUAGCUGCUUAG